CGCAUUUCACCUUACCUUUCUGACGUUCUUUUCCCGUUUCUUUUCAUCUUCUUUGAGCCGUUUCUUUUCAUCUGAAACGCAUUUCGGUUUCGAAAUUGAAAGCUAUAAAAAACCAUUGAAAGCCUUCCUCAAAGAAUUUCAUGUUCCCGACCAUCUCUGCUUCAGUCAAGGAUUCGCAUUAGGGCUUCCGCAAUCUCCAUGUCCGCUUGACAGUGAGGAUUCGCAGAAAGAAAUCAAGGCUUCCUCAGCGAUUAGGAUUCGCUCUGUGUCUGUAAUCCAGGCUUCUGUUUCCAUUCUACCAAUUCUUUGGAAGCCGCAUUACCUCUGUUCCAGUAAUCAGGGCUGCCAUGUUUUCAUUUUGAUGUUGUGCAUACCUGCCAAUGCCAUUCGUUUAUGCCCGCGAAAUCCCUUCUUUGAAGCACCUCUCCUAAAGGCGUUGUUGUUUCAUUCCGUGCCAUCGCUGAUAAAAUCUCUUGGUUGUGAUGUCUUUCAGUUGUGGCCUUGAAUUUCCUUCUUUGGGUAUGUCACAAGUUGGCUUAUAUUUUUCCAAAAGGGAACAAUCUAAGAGGUGAAAUUGGUCACUUAAUCAUAUGGAAAACUUCUUUGUGCUCCACUGGAGUGGGAAAGACAUUGGUGGCAAAAGCAGUGGCAAGGGAAACAGGAUCAACCAGAUAAAAGGAGUAGAGACAAGAUCUAUGCACAACAUGCAACUAACAGAAAACUGCAUUCCCAGAAAACUACAAGAGAUUGGCGCAGAUCCUUAAUCAUUUUUGUGCAUGGAUUCACAAGUGACACCAUCUUUUGGAUCCUUAAUCAUUUUUGUGCAUGGAUUCUAAAGUAACACCACACCAUCUUUUGGGCUUGCUAAGUUGGAUACGCAAAGAGCAGGACUUCUUAUAAACAUGUGGUCACUGUUGUGGUAAUGCUAGAAGUUAUUUUCACUCAUAGUGGUAUGUAUGAGGCCAGGGGGUGGAAGAGUUGAUAAUAUGUGAAUUUUUUUUGUCAAUACUGAUAUGAAGGGCUACUCUUGAUUUAAAAGGGUUUCUCUUUAUCCGAUGCCUUUUUUCUUUCUUCAUGUUAGCAUCUUUGAAUCUUAUAGUAAAUGUUGUUGCAAAGAAAGUCUUCAAGUUUUCAGGUUUGAUUAUGAAUUUUCAUUGGUUGUUUAUGCAUUGUUGGUUGAGAUGUGGUUGGAACAUUUGGGGACAAUGAAUUAGAAGGAUUAAGAUAAUAUUGGUUCGUGAGUCUAAGAUAUAGUAACUAUAGAUGAUGAAGAAACAUUAAAAGUGAGUAAUUUGUAACGGGUGAGUGACAUUAAAAGCUAUUAAUUUUUAACGUGUGAAGAAACAUUAAAAGUGAUUAAUUUGUAACAGAUGGGAGACAUUAAAAGUUAUUAAUUUAUAACAGGUGAGAGGUGGAUUUAGUUUUAUGCAACCAUUAGUUAAUUAGAAGAGCUGAAGAUGUAAAGCUAUGAACGAGUCUCAUUAAUAAUAUUUAGAUAAUAGAUAGAAGGUGAGUAAAAUGGAACUCUAAUGCUAACCUAACCUUCUUCAAUCUCAGGUUUUAGUUCCAGGAUUUUUUUUUUUUAUUUAUAAAAAUGCAUAAUUAUAACAAAAAUCACUUAAAAUUGAAAUGAUGUGGCUGUUUUAUCCAUUUGCUUUGGUUUUCCAUGUUAUUCAACACAGCAACUCCUCCAUCUAUUAAUUCUUUUAGGUUGUUUGCAGAUGACUUCCCUCUACUCUCAGACUUUUUGCUCAUUAAAACAGUUGCUAAACAUGCAUGCUUCCCAACAGCAACCUCAGGGUCAGAGCUCCCAAAAUAAUAAAAUUCACUACAAUGGUUUUGGAACUUUAAGAGCUUAAUGUGUCUUUCAUGAGUGUCUUUGCGUUCAGCAAUUGAGUUUGUGCCUGUCUUUUCUGCUGAAAUAUAUUUGCAAGAAAAGUCCAAUGAUUUCCUUUUUGGGACGCAUACUAAAGGAUUGGUAUAUAUGAUACUGGCCGAGACGAGACACAUACCGUAAUCUGAAGCUUGCCGAUUUUCAUUGGCACAAUCAUUUUUUAAUGAGUUCAAUGCAAACCUUAUAAAAAUUGUGGAUUCUCUUUCUGAAUCUUAUGAAGGUUGGUGCUGCUAUGAUUUACAUAAGAGAGCCCUUUGAUUAAAUUACUAACAUGUAGCUCUGCAGAGCGUCUCUGGCAGAAUCAAGUCUGGCCAUUUGAUAUUGUUAAAAAAAUGUAGUUCAUAUUCUAAUUAUAUGUCUUGCUUUUUAUGCUUGACUAUCUUUUGGUACAUUAUUCUAUUUUGAUUUACACUUUAUAAAGGUGGCUGCGGCUUCUCUAUUGCUAUCUCUGUAGCCUUGGAAUUCCUUCUGAAUAAAAACUAACACUGUAUGAUUUUACUAUAUAUAGCAUAAAUUAAUGGAUUUGGUA
Long non-coding RNA from Lotus japonicus, 2423 nucleotides. RefSeq lists it as uncharacterized. The record is from RefSeq and is a predicted model, not a curated record. NCBI's taxonomy places the organism in Eukaryota, Viridiplantae, Streptophyta, Magnoliopsida, Fabales, Fabaceae. The transcript has 8 exons.